Molecule: ribosomal RNA, 2802 nt
Filed under: Escherichia coli
Lineage: Bacteria; Pseudomonadati; Pseudomonadota; Gammaproteobacteria; Enterobacterales; Enterobacteriaceae
Description: bacterial LSU rRNA
Rfam family: Bacterial large subunit ribosomal RNA
Source: RNAcentral
GGGUUGUGAGGUUAAGCGACUAAGCGUACACGGUGGAUGCCCUGGCAGUCAGAGGCGAUGAAGGACGUGCUAAUCUGCGAUAAGCGUCGGUAAGGUGAUAUGAACCGUUAUAACCGGCGAUUUCCGAAUGGGGAAACCCAGUGUGAUUCGUCACACUAUCAUUAACUGAAUCCAUAGGUUAAUGAGGCGAACCGGGGGAACUGAAACAUCUAAGUACCCCGAGGAAAAGAAAUCAACCGAGAUUCCCCCAGUAGCGGCGAGCGAACGGGGAGGAGCCCAGAGCCUGAAUCAGUGUGUGUGUUAGUGGAAGCGUCUGGAAAGGCGCGCGAUACAGGGUGACAGCCCCGUACACAAAAAUACACAUAUUGUGAGCUCGAUGAGUAGGGCGGGACACGUGGUAUCCUGUCUGAAUAUGGGGGGACCAUCCUCCAAGGCUAAAUACUCCUGACUGACCGAUAGUGAACCAGUACCGUGAGGGAAAGGCGAAAAGAACCCCGGCGAGGGGAGUGAAAAAGAACCUGAAACCGUGUACGUACAAGCAGUGGGAGCACGCUUAGGCGUGUGACUGCGUACCUUUUGUAUAAUGGGUCAGCGACUUAUAUUCUGUAGCAAGGUUAACCGAAUAGGGGAGCCGAAGGGAAACCGAGUCUUAACUGGGCGUUAAGUUGCAGGGUAUAGACCCGAAACCCGGUGAUCUAGCCAUGGGCAGGUUGAAGGUUGGGUAACACUAACUGGAGGACCGAACCGACUAAUGUUGAAAAAUUAGCGGAUGACUUGUGGCUGGGGGUGAAAGGCCAAUCAAACCGGGAGAUAGCUGGUUCUCCCCGAAAGCUAUUUAGGUAGCGCCUCGUGAAUUCAUCUCCGGGGGUAGAGCACUGUUUCGGCAAGGGGGUCAUCCCGACUUACCAACCCGAUGCAAACUGCGAAUACCGGAGAAUGUUAUCACGGGAGACACACGGCGGGUGCUAACGUCCGUCGUGAAGAGGGAAACAACCCAGACCGCCAGCUAAGGUCCCAAAGUCAUGGUUAAGUGGGAAACGAUGUGGGAAGGCCCAGACAGCCAGGAUGUUGGCUUAGAAGCAGCCAUCAUUUAAAGAAAGCGUAAUAGCUCACUGGUCGAGUCGGCCUGCGCGGAAGAUGUAACGGGGCUAAACCAUGCACCGAAGCUGCGGCAGCGACGCUUAUGCGUUGUUGGGUAGGGGAGCGUUCUGUAAGCCUGUGAAGGUGUGCUGUGAGGCAUGCUGGAGGUAUCAGAAGUGCGAAUGCUGACAUAAGUAACGAUAAAGCGGGUGAAAAGCCCGCUCGCCGGAAGACCAAGGGUUCCUGUCCAACGUUAAUCGGGGCAGGGUGAGUCGACCCCUAAGGCGAGGCCGAAAGGCGUAGUCGAUGGGAAACAGGUUAAUAUUCCUGUACUUGGUGUUACUGCGAAGGGGGGACGGAGAAGGCUAUGUUGGCCGGGCGACGGUUGUCCCGGUUUAAGCGUGUAGGCUGGUUUUCCAGGCAAAUCCGGAAAAUCAAGGCUGAGGCGUGAUGACGAGGCACUACGGUGCUGAAGCAACAAAUGCCCUGCUUCCAGGAAAAGCCUCUAAGCAUCAGGUAACAUCAAAUCGUACCCCAAACCGACACAGGUGGUCAGGUAGAGAAUACCAAGGCGCUUGAGAGAACUCGGGUGAAGGAACUAGGCAAAAUGGUGCCGUAACUUCGGGAGAAGGCACGCUGAUAUGUAGGUGAAGUCCCUUGCGGAUGGAGCUGAAAUCAGUCGAAGAUACCAGCUGGCUGCAACUGUUUAUUAAAAACACAGCACUGUGCAAACACGAAAGUGGACGUAUACGGUGUGACGCCUGCCCGGUGCCGGAAGGUUAAUUGAUGGGGUCAGCGCAAGCGAAGCUCUUGAUCGAAGCCCCGGUAAACGGCGGCCGUAACUAUAACGGUCCUAAGGUAGCGAAAUUCCUUGUCGGGUAAGUUCCGACCUGCACGAAUGGCGUAAUGAUGGCCAGGCUGUCUCCACCCGAGACUCAGUGAAAUUGAACUCGCUGUGAAGAUGCAGUGUACCCGCGGCAAGACGGAAAGACCCCGUGAACCUUUACUAUAGCUUGACACUGAACAUUGAGCCUUGAUGUGUAGGAUAGGUGGGAGGCUUGGAAGUGUGGACGCCAGUCUGCAUGGAGCCGACCUUGAAAUACCACCCUUUAAUGUUUGAUGUUCUAACGUUGACCCGUAAUCCGGGUUGCGGACAGUGUCUGGUGGGUAGUUUGACUGGGGCGGUCUCCUCCUAAAGAGUAACGGAGGAGCACGAAGGUUGGCUAAUCCUGGUCGGACAUCAGGAGGUUAGUGCAAUGGCAUAAGCCAGCUUGACUGCGAGCGUGACGGCGCGAGCAGGUGCGAAAGCAGGUCAUAGUGAUCCGGUGGUUCUGAAUGGAAGGGCCAUCGCUCAACGGAUAAAAGGUACUCCGGGGAUAACAGGCUGAUACCGCCCAAGAGUUCAUAUCGACGGCGGUGUUUGGCACCUCGAUGUCGGCUCAUCACAUCCUGGGGCUGAAGUAGGUCCCAAGGGUAUGGCUGUUCGCCAUUUAAAGUGGUACGCGAGCUGGGUUUAGAACGUCGUGAGACAGUUCGGUCCCUAUCUGCCGUGGGCGCUGGAGAACUGAGGGGGGCUGCUCCUAGUACGAGAGGACCGGAGUGGACGCAUCACUGGUGUUCGGGUUGUCAUGCCAAUGGCACUGCCCGGUAGCUAAAUGCGGAAGAGAUAAGUGCUGAAAGCAUCUAAGCACGAAACUUGCCCCGAGAUGAGUUCUCCCUGAC